Molecule: ribosomal RNA, 253 nt
Filed under: uncultured bacterium
Lineage: Bacteria
Description: partial 16S ribosomal RNA
Rfam family: Bacterial small subunit ribosomal RNA
Source: RNAcentral
UACGGAGGGUGCAAGCGUUAUCCGGAUUUAUUGGGUUUAAAGGGUCCGUAGGCGGAUUAAUCAGUCAGUGGUGAAAUCUCAUAGCUUAACUAUGAAACUGCCAUUGAUACUGUUAGUCUUGAGUAAUGUUGAAGUUGCUGGAAUGUGUAGUGUAGCGGUGAAAUGCUUAGAUAUUACGCAGAACACCAAUUGCGAAGGCAGGUGACUAAACAUUAACUGACGCUGAUGGACGAAAGCGUGGGGAGCGAACAGG